RNAcentral lists this ribosomal RNA (514 nucleotides) under uncultured bacterium. RNAcentral's name for it is "partial 16S ribosomal RNA". It matches the Rfam family "Bacterial small subunit ribosomal RNA", at positions 28 to 523 of the family's 1533-position model. The record is from RNAcentral.
GAUGAACGCUGGCGGCGUGCCUAAUACAUGCAAGUCGAGCGAACAGAUGAGAAGCUUGCUUCUCUGAUGUUAGCGGCGGACGGGUGAGUAACACGUGGGUAACCUACCUAUAAGACUGGGAUAACUCCGGGAAACCGGGGCUAAUACCGGAUAAUAUUUUGAACCGCAUGGUUCAAUAGUGAAAGACGGUUUCGGCUGUCACUUAUAGAUGGACCCGCGCCGUAUUAGCUAGUUGGUAAGGUAACGGCUUACCAAGGCGACGGUACGUAGACGAGCUGAGAGGGUGAUCGCCCACACUCGAACUGAGACACGGUCCAGACUCCUACGGGAGGCAGCAGUAGAGAAUCGUCCGCAAGGGGCGAAAGCCUGAAGGAGCAACGCCGCGUGAGUGAUGAAGGUCUUCGGAUCGUAAAACUCUGUUGUUAGGGAAGAACAAAUUUGUUAGUAACUGAACAAGUCUUGACGGUACCUAACCAGAAAGCCACGGCUAACUACGUGCCAGCAGCCGCAGUAA